GGUGAGUAACGCGUGAGCAACCUGUCCCGAACAGGGGGAUAACGAGCCGAAAGGCUCACUAAUACCGCAUGAGACCACAGCAUCGCAUGGUGCAGGGGUCAAAGGAGCAAUCCGGUUCGGGGUGGGCUCGCGUCUGAUUAGCCAGUUGGUGAGGUAACGGCUUACCAAAGCAACGAUCAGUAGCCGACCUGAGAGGGUGAUCGGCCACAUUGGAACUGAGAGACGGUCCAAACUCCUACGGGAGGCAGCAGUGGGGAAUAUUGGGCAAUGGGCGAAAGCCUGACCCAGCAACGCCGCGUGAAGGAAGAAGGUUUUCGGAUCGUAAACUUCUAUCCUUGGUGAAGAUAAUGACGGUAGCCAAGAAGGAAGCCCCGGCUAACUAC
Molecule: ribosomal RNA, 383 nt
Filed under: uncultured bacterium
Lineage: Bacteria
Description: bacterial SSU rRNA
Rfam family: Bacterial small subunit ribosomal RNA
Source: RNAcentral